RNAcentral lists this ribosomal RNA (166 nucleotides) under Escherichia coli. Its description in RNAcentral is "partial 23S ribosomal RNA". It matches the Rfam family "Bacterial large subunit ribosomal RNA", at positions 1 to 158 of the family's 2925-position model. The record is from RNAcentral. Lineage: Bacteria; Pseudomonadati; Pseudomonadota; Gammaproteobacteria; Enterobacterales; Enterobacteriaceae.
GGGUUGUGAGGUUAAGCGACUAAGCGUACACGGUGGAUGCCCUGGCAGUCAGAGGCGAUGAAGGACGUGCUAAUCUGCGAUAAGCGUCGGUGAGGUGAUAUGAACCGUUAUAACCGGCGAUUUCCGAAUGGGGAAACCCAGUGUGUUUCGACACACUAUCAUUAAC